UGUCUCCUGGGGUGUUCGCCAGUUCAGUCAUGUCCCUGGCCGAUGCUAUCACCUAAGGGGGUUGAUUCGGCUGCUUUUGUGCAAGCUCGGCUUGUACCGAGAAGCCUACGGUAGUGAUGAUACCCCCGCCCUGAACUUUUCGGUUCAAGGGCUCAAACUGAACAGCGGCACUUUGGGAGACGC
Molecule: non-coding RNA, 183 nt
Filed under: Bowmanella dokdonensis
Lineage: Bacteria; Pseudomonadati; Pseudomonadota; Gammaproteobacteria; Alteromonadales; Alteromonadaceae
Description: Bowmanella sp. UDC354 6S / SsrS RNA
Rfam family: 6S / SsrS RNA
About the family: E. coli 6S RNA was the first non coding RNA to be sequenced, but its function was unknown until recently.
Source: Rfam by way of RNAcentral